Molecule: ribosomal RNA, 138 nt
Filed under: uncultured eukaryote
Lineage: Eukaryota
Description: partial 18S ribosomal RNA
Rfam family: Eukaryotic small subunit ribosomal RNA
Source: RNAcentral
UGGUGGAGUGAUUUGUCUGGUUGAUUCCGAUAACGAACGAGACGGGGGACUUAACUGGUCGUGGUCGUAAUUCGCGUUACUUCCGGCCUCUUAUGUCGACAACUCGGUUUUACCGAGAGGAAGCGCCCCGCAAUAACA